GUGUUAUUUAUUUUAUUACAUAUAUAUUUGUGUGUGUGUGUGUGUGUGUGUAUAUAUAUAUAUAUAUAUAUAUAUAUAUAUAUAUAUAUAUAUAUAUAUAUAUAUAUAUAUAAAGGCUUUAUAAACCUUUCCCACUCUCCUAUAAACCUUUUACACAGACUUCUGGAUUAAGAUAGCUGCCAUGCAGAAGCAGGACUCUUUCUCUCCUCACCAUCGACGAAUAUAGACUACCUCAAAAGGACAACACCCCACCCCCCAAGUUCAGAUGAAUGAAGGGACCUCACAGUAGGGCACAGCACUGAAGGAUAAUUAACUCUGCUGUUUUUGUUAUUGUUAAUGUUGAGUUGUAUCCAAUUAACUCUUCAUGACUCCAUGUGAAGUUUUAACUCUGAAGUUCAAUAAUGCCAGGAUUUAUUUGGCUGCCAUAUCUAUCUAGCUGACCCUAGAGGGAUCCCUGGGACAUCUGAAACAAUUAGGGUGAUGCUACUGUAUUCUGCCAAACUUCUAGACCCAUGGGAACUGCUGAUAUAGUCAGGAAGCCUAUCUGGGUGCUUGGUAGAAAAGGAAACAUCCUUCUGCAGAAAUAUAUAAACCUGGGCUCAACAAGAAGGAUCAUUUUAGAGAUCAGAAGAGUGGACAUCCAUGAUGCCUGGGCAAUCUUUUAUGAGACGUUAAAUUCAAUUGGGCACUGUAAAGCAAGUAGUAUUUGGAGUGGAGGAACACUUGGUGAAAUCUCUUAUUCUUAAUGAUGUUGCCCUGGAAAAUGCAUGCUGUCUCAGAAGAAUAUAGGAAGGAAGAUGAAGCUCUAUCGAUGUAUCAUUUUAGCCGAUAUUUGAAGUCUCAGCAAAUUUCCAAGUAAAUGUUGUCAUCCCAGCCAAAGAGGCAACUCAUGUUUUAAUUGAAAGACUUUCCAUCUGCUGAUGUGAAGACAUUCACUAUUGCAGUUCCAAAAGGACAACUUGUUCAAGACAAAGAAAGGGAAUUGUGCCAAUAACAGCAACUACAUUUUCUGUAGCCUGCCUCCAUGUCCUGUUUCCCCCACUCUAGUUUUAUAGUGUAUUGAUGAAACAGAAUAUAGAGAACUAGGAGAUAAGGUACAAGGAUAAAAACCAAUCUAGUUAUAAAAGUUGGAUGGCUUAUUUCUGAAGAAAAGGAACACCAUUCUAAUUACUGAGUGAAAAAAUAAAAGGCUUAUGAGAGCCA
Molecule: long non-coding RNA, 1203 nt
Filed under: Monodelphis domestica (gray short-tailed opossum)
Lineage: Eukaryota; Metazoa; Chordata; Mammalia; Didelphimorphia; Didelphidae
Description: lncRNA (ENSMODG00000035401.2)
Source: RNAcentral